This 72-nucleotide transfer RNA is filed under the name Nanobdellota archaeon. RNAcentral's name for it is "tRNA-Gly". It matches the Rfam family "tRNA". Rfam says of the family: Transfer RNA (tRNA) molecules are approximately 80 nucleotides in length. Their secondary structure includes four short double-helical elements and three loops (D, anti-codon, and T loops). RNAcentral also lists the same sequence under 1 other name. Lineage: Archaea; Nanobdellati; Nanobdellota. The record is from RNAcentral.
GCGCCGGUGGUUUAGUGGUUAGAAUCUCGGCCUUCCAAGCCGAUAACCCGGGUUCGAAUCCCGGCCGGCGCA